CCCCGGCAUGGCAGCACGGCGCACGGACGCCUUUUCUCUCUUCGACGGUGACGCCAUGAUGGACUGACAGUGCGACGGUGUAGCAAAGCAUAGACGAUUAGACAUCUUCAAGGCUCAAGCAGAUUUCUGGGUUCGGUUUCAUUUUUCGACUUUUCGAUUUCGGAUUCUUCAAGAUUGAAGGUUAGGUCCCCAUUUUUUUAAUUUGAGGUUCCAGACCGGGUUCAGGUCCUUGUACUUGACCUGGGUUCGGAGCCUCUAGUUUUCAAAUUCGAUUUCGACGAAUGGGGACGAUGAGCCUUUGCCGUCUUUGGGCAUGAGGUUGUGGGCCGCCACCACCUCCACCACAAGGCAUUCUUUGCCGGUGCUGUUGCUCACAGUCAUGGAUGGGUUUUGGUGAAGAAGAAAAAGAAGAAGGAAACAGAGAAAAUGAAAGAUGAAGUAGAGAACAGAGGAAUAGAAAAAACAGAGGAAGCAAACAAUGAAUGAAACAGAGCAGAGAGCUAGCUAGAGAGAGAGAGAGAGAGAGGCGUAUAGGGAACACAAUGUGACAAAUUCGGAGGCGUAAUAAAGCCAGAAAACCACCAUGCGAAUCAGAAGAGCGUGCAGCUCAGAGAUAGAGAGAUAAAUAAAAAGUCAGAGAGAGAGAGAGAGAGCUCUGUUUCAGAGAGAGUACAGAGGAGGAGCUCACUCUUUCUGAGUUGGUAGAAGGAAAAGACAGUCAACAAUCCCACUCUUUUUUUUUUUUUUUAACUUUGUCAAGGGAACCCAAAGGCUUCCUAGGCCCAAGAUAAAUCCCUUUGAACAGUCCCACUCUUUAGUUCAACGUGUGAUGUCCACGGACCAAAAAAGACAAAAAAAAAAAGAGGAGGGAUCUGACCUAAGGGCA
Long non-coding RNA from Rosa rugosa (rugosa rose), 886 nucleotides. RefSeq lists it as uncharacterized. The transcript is spliced from 3 exons. NCBI's taxonomy places the organism in Eukaryota, Viridiplantae, Streptophyta, Magnoliopsida, Rosales, Rosaceae. The record is from RefSeq and is a predicted model, not a curated record.